UGAAUACGAGACGCUAAGGCGUUGAAGUAGUGUAUGUCAUACUUCCAAGAAAAGCUUGCACUGUCAUAGAUAAAAAACGCCUGUACCAUAACCGACACAGGUGGGUAGGUAGAGUAUACUAAGGGGCGCGAGAUAACUCUCUCUAAGGAACUCGGCAAAAUAACUCCGUAACUUCGGGAGAAGGAGUGCCUUAUUUAUAAGGCUGCAAUAACAAGAUCCAAGCAACUGUUUAUCAAAAACACAGGUCUCCGCUAAGUCGUAAGACGAUGUAUGGGGGCUGACGCCUGCCCAGUGCCAGAAGGUUAAAGAAGUUGGUUAGCAAUAGCGAAGCUGAUAACUGAAGCCCUGGUGAACGGCGGCCGUAACGAUAACGGUCCUAAGGUAGCGAAAUUCCUUGUCGGGUAAGUUCCGACCCGCACGAAAGGCGUAAUGAUUUGGAUACUGUCUCGGAGAGGGGCUCGGUGAAAUAGACUUGUCUGUGAAGAUGCGGACUACCUGCACCAGGACAGAAAGACCCUAUGAAGCUUUACUGUAACUUGAAAUUGAAAUUGGACUUUAUUCGCGCAGUAUAGGUGGGAGGCGUUGAUUGUAAUCUUGCGGGAUUAUUGGAGCCAUCAGUGAGAUACCACCCUUGUAAUGUUAGAUUUCUAACUUUGAAUCAUUAUCUGGUCAAAGAACAGUUUCAGGCGGGCAGUUUGACUGGGGCGGUCGCCUCCUAAACGGUAACGGAGGCGUACAAAGGUUUCCUCUGAACGGUUAGAAAUCGUAUCUAGAGUGUAAAGGCAUAAGGAAGCUUGACUGUGAGACCUACAAGUCGAGCAGGGACGAAAGUCGGUCUUAGUGAUCUGACGGUACUGAGUGGAAAGGCCGUCACUCAACGGAUAAAAGUUACUCUAAGGAUAACAGGCUGAUCUCCCCCAAGAGUUCACAUCGACGGGGAGGUUUGGCACCUCGAUGUCGGCUCAUCGCAUCCUGGGGCGGUAGUACGUCCCAAGGGUUGGGCUGUUCGCCCAUGAAAGCGGUACGCGAGCUGGGUUCAGAACGUCGUGAGACAGUUCGGUCCAUAUCCGGUGUAGGCGUUAGAAUAUUGAGAGGAGCCUUCUUUAGUACGAGAGGACCGAGAAGGACAUACCUCUGGUGUACCAGUUAUCGUGCCAACGGUAAACGCUGGGUAGCUAUGUAUGGAGUGGAUAACCGCUGAAAGCAUCUAAGUGGGAAGCCCACCUCAUGAUAAGUAUUCUCAU
RNAcentral lists this ribosomal RNA (1244 nucleotides) under metagenome. RNAcentral's name for it is "bacterial LSU rRNA". It matches the Rfam family "Bacterial large subunit ribosomal RNA", at positions 1564 to 2817 of the family's 2925-position model. The record is from RNAcentral.